Long non-coding RNA from Scylla paramamosain (green mud crab), 4696 nucleotides. RefSeq lists it as uncharacterized. NCBI's taxonomy places the organism in Eukaryota, Metazoa, Arthropoda, Malacostraca, Decapoda, Portunidae. The transcript has 7 exons. The record is from RefSeq and is a predicted model, not a curated record.
ACGCGCGCCUUGUCCCGGCGUUCAGAGUGUGACUCCGCUGCUCUACCUAUACCCGUGUGGAUAACACGCCCGCCCGGAGUGAGGGAUGGGCGCAACAAUAACAUCUUUGUUGGCCCUGUCGAAGGCACCCUUAAGAUCAACGAAAGCUCUGCAGGAGUGAGUGAGGCAGGAUGAGUCUGAUGGGUGCUUAGGCUGAGAGUCACGCCGCAGGGUCAGUGAGGGGUACGGCCGGCAGUAUGGUGACUCCUACGGCGGCGGUAGGUCAUCACAGGAGUACUCAUGUGACAGGAGCAGCAGUUGGGGGGCGGUCACAGGGGAGGGGGCUGAUGGCGAAACCAUGGGAGGGGGAGAUGGUGCCGGGGAGUGGCAGGGUGGCCGGCCUUAUGCUGCAGGGGACGGCCACUGCUCCGGACAUCAUGGCGUAUGGAUAACCUGGAGUCCGAAGUGGCACUUAAUAUUCUCAAUGCUGUGGUGACUAAUAAAGAAGAGGCACAGUGGUCAAGACAGGGACUGGGAAGGCAGACAGAAGAGGAGGAUGGACUGGAUGAGUAACAGCAGUACUAGUAGAAGUAGUAGUAGUGAUAGUUUGAUCAUAGUAGAGAUAGCAGUAAAAUAUCUAGUUGUAUUAUUAGAAGUAGUAGCAAUAGUAGAAGUAAUACCAAUAGUAGAAGUAGCUUGGUCAAAGUAGUAAUGGUAAUAGUAGUGAUAGCAGGAUGUUAUUUAACUGUAUAAAAGAAAGAUUAAAUCCAUAUAUAAAACUUAUUGGGAGGACCAGUAGCAGCAGCAGUAGUAGUAUUAGGAACACCGUGGUCAUAAUAACAGAAGUAGAACCAUAACAAUUCACUAUAUAAAACAAAAAGCACCAAACUAAUAUAGCAUCAACAACAACAGCAACAGUAGCAGUAGUAGUAGUAGUAAUAGUAGCAGCAGUAGUAGUAGUAGUAACAACACUAACUCCAACACUUUACCAACAGGACGACCAGUACUAUGGGUCUGGCUGCGGCAUCCUACCCACCCCCCGGAUGCCCCCAUGCUAACUGCCCUGGCGCGACCCUAACAUUGGCCCUGCACACUCCUGGGGUGUGGUGGGGGGCUUUGUACCAGGGCGGCCGGGGCGGGGGCGGGGUAGAGCAACAGGACUGGGGUACAAGAUGAAGAAAACGUUGCCGGCUAAGAAGAAAAUAGGAGCUAAGGAGGUUAAGACAAGUGGUGGUGGUGGUGGUGGUGCUGGUGGUGUGAAACCGAGGAUAAGACUGUAUCAUCAGUCUGAUGAUAUUUUGAAUAUCAAUUAUUUAACUUCUGCAACACCUGAGGACAAGACAGGAGCCAGCUCCUCCCAGAAUGAGCCCACACCUGCACCUGAGGACACACCCACACCUGCACCCAAGCCUUCACCCACCCCCAGCACCCACUCCAGCAUCCAGCACAGCCCAGGGGAAGGCCCAGGGCAGGCAGCCAAGGGCCGAGGCAGGGGCAGGGGUGUGGCGUGGGGGAGGAGAGUGUGAAGUGUGUGGGUUAGGUUUGUAUGUGGUACUUUGUCUGGGCUGCUCCAUAUGUGGGAGAGCUCGGUUGGUGUAGAGAUGGAUAGAUAGAUGUGUGUGUGUGUGUGUGUGUGUGUGUGUGUGUGUGUGUGUGUGUGUGUGUGUGUGUGUGUGUGUGUGUGUGUGUGUGUGAGGGAUUUGUACUUCAUUCAAGCAUCUUUUAUUUUUACUACUGCUACUAUCUUGUUCACUACUGGAAGAUUAGUACUAAGAUGUGAUUCUUGUUAUUUUUAAGGGUAUUAUUCCAAUGUUUUUUGUAUGAUUGCAUCUCAUUCCUGUUGUACUUUGAGAGAGAGAGAGAGAGAGAGAGAGAGAGAGAGAGAGAGAGAGAGAGAGAGAGAGAGAGAGAGAGAGAGAACAGGCCCCAUUGCACAAACUAAUGAUAAAAAAAACUCACAACCAUUCCAAAAAGUAUAAAUAUGUUAGUUUUGUUAGUAGAUUUUGCAAGAAAGGAAAUUUGAAAUACAGGAGUGUGUGGGAGAGGCAAAGGAUAUGUAGGACGGCAGAUUAGUGUGUGAAGGAUGUGUAGGAGAGGCUGAGGAUAUCCUGUACACUGUGUCAGGAUGGUUAAGGGUGAUUUGGAAGGAAGGUAGUGUGUGAAGGAUGCAUUAGGUAGGAUGUGUAGUAGUGGGUACAAUGUGUUAAGAAUGAUAUGUAUGUUACAGGAGAUAAGGAUGUGUAUUUUCACCACAAGUAUGUGUAGAGAUUGGUGUUAACACAGCAGGAAGGUUUGAUGAAGCUGGACCAUCAUUCCUUGUGUUGUCUUAAUAAAUGUAUGCAAACUGACUGUAAACUCUCUCUCCUUCUAGUGUAUUUAUCAGCUUUUGGGGUCAAGAUGUCACUUUAUUUAUUUAUUUAUUUUUUAUUGUUAUUUUGUUUGUCUUUUUUUUUUUUCUUUGUGUUGGACAGUUUACGAGUCAGUUCCAGUUUUUGUGACGGUGGAUGUGGUUUCUUUCUGUGAUGCUUGUCCUUGCCAUGCCUUCCUUCCCAGUGACUACCAUGUGUAGGCCUGAUGGCUCCUUGCAGCUUCCCUUUUGUACAUCCUUAUGUUACUCCACACUCAGUUUCUCCAUGUGUUGACUGUUUUUCUUUUUUUGUGUCUUCCUCCACUUAUAAAUAACACUCAAACUCACACACACACACUUCAGGUAUUCUCAGAUAUUCAGCAUUCAUUCUUAUCUUGCCUUCCUUCACCUACUCACAGCAUCUCCAGGUCUUCACACUCAGCAUUCCCCCUCAUCUUUCACUCCACACAGUAUCCUUCACUCCACACAGCCUGCCCCCUCAUCCUUCACUCAGCCUCUUCCCUCAUCUUUCACUCAGCUUCCCUCCUCAUCUCUCAGUCCACACAGCCUGCCCCCUCAUCCUUCACUCCACACAGCCUGCCUCCUUAUCCCUCAGUCAGCCUCUUCCCUCAUCUUUCACUCAGCUUCCCUCCUCAUCUCUCACUGCACACAGCCUGCCCCCUCAUCCUUCACUCCUCCACACAGCAUCCCUCAUCUCUAACACCAUCCAAGCCUUACACAUCCACACCUACAUCUACAUCUCACACCUGCAGCAUCCCUGGAAUCACAUCAGUGCCCCCAGGUGACAGGUGAGCUCUAAUUCUAUCCUCCAUUCUGUUUUUCGUCACCACCACCAUCACCACCACCACCAAUAUUUAGGACCUAAAUAUGCUAAUUAUACUGUUUGUCCUGCGUAUUUUUAAUUGUGGAGUAGGGAAGUGGAAGAAUAAUUGAUUUAAUAUUAAGAGCUAAAGUAAGAAUGUAAGAAAAAUAAGGUCUAGUGCAAGAAACUAAUAGGCCUAUGUGCGGUGGUCCAUAUUUCAAACAUGCCUGCGUAUUUCCACCUAUCAUCCCUGUCCAUAAAUUCGUAUAAUCUCUUAAAACUACCUAAUGACUCAGCGCUAACAACCUGGUUCGUUUGUCUCCACCGUGUGGAUUAAUAUAUUCCUUAACUAUCUCGUUGUAUUAAACUGCUUGUAAUGGUUGACGUAUUCUGGUCUGUAUCCUUCAUUUGUAUCUUGUUUGUAUUUUUGUAUUCUUAAGCACUUCAUCUCAAAAUAAUGGCAAAGAUAGUUAGUCUUUGCCAUGCGGAUAAAAUAUUUCCUCAAACUACCUCGUUAAAUUAAUCUGCUUGUAAUUGUUGAUGUAUUCUGGUUUGUGUUCUCCAUUUGUAUCUUGUUCGUAUUGUUAAGCUCUUUGUUCUUUCACCAGGACUGUUAACAAAUGCCACAGGUGAUUGGUCAGGUUCUCAUGGGUGUUCUCAUUAAUGACGCAGGAUCCUCACCAAACCAUCACUGAGUCAUGAUAGUGCCAUUAUCACUUCGUUGACUUUCACUACAGGCUGUAAAACUAUCACCCAAGGAAACACACUUGUAAAUCCCUAACAGUUUGUACUAUACCCUGCUAAAACAUUCGUAAAACCACGAUAACUUCCAGUAAAUCAAAGGAAAUUGCCACUAAACCAUGAAAAUACCCUUGCAAAACUCGUCACCUCACUAAUCAUAAUUUCAAUCACUAAAGUCACGAAAACAUCCUUGGAAAACCAAAUAACUUUAGCUCGGGUUUGUUAAAAGUAGUGGAGGUAUUUUCUUUUCUUCCCUUUUGUUGCCUCAGCCCGGUGUCCCUCUGAUGUGAAAAAAAAAAAAAAACAAGACAUUGAAGCGUUCGAGAUAGCGAAAAAGUUACGAAGCUUCAGCAGACGUGAACUAACGCCUGACUCUAGCCGCGUCGCUCUCUCUACCUCCGUCCGCCGCCCAGGUAAGGUCAUCCCAGCCACGUGCCGCCACCUCGCUCCGCUGCUUCACAAGGCGCUCCACGCGUGCCACAGCCAGCCGGCGCUCCCUAUUGGCGGCCUGAAGACCCACGCACCCCAGCAACAAGGUGAAGGCUGUGCUCUGGCAGGUCGCUCCAGCUUGCCAUCAUAGGUGCUAGCCUGCCCUGAGCGCCCUCCUCUCUGCCUGUGACGCGCCGGGGGUGUCUGGCUGGAUGAGUGGUGACGCUGCAGUGACCUCGCAGACUGGCGGCGGCACUCCCCUGCAAUACGUCCCCUGCAUUGCUGUAACAAAGCAGCCGUGUGAGCGACUCGUGGGCUGGCGCGCCGCCGGUUAAUGAUGUACGAGAGGCUCCCAAAUAUAUAUUAUUUUUAGUUAA